UACAGAGACUGCAAGCGUUAUUCGGAUUUACUGGGCGUAAAGGGUGCGCAGGCGGCCAAGUGUGUGAGGCGUGAAAGCCUGGGGCUUAACUCCAGAAUUGCACCUCAAACUACAUGGCUAGAGCAUUGGAGAGGGUAGCAGAAUUCACGGUGUAGCAGUGAAAUGCGUAGAUAUCGUGAGGAAUACCAGAGGCGAAGGCGGCUACCUGGACAAUUGCUGACGCUCAGGCACGAAAGCGUGGGGAGCAAAAGGG
RNAcentral lists this ribosomal RNA (253 nucleotides) under uncultured bacterium. Its description in RNAcentral is "partial 16S ribosomal RNA". It matches the Rfam family "Bacterial small subunit ribosomal RNA", at positions 524 to 776 of the family's 1533-position model. The record is from RNAcentral.